CCCCUAGUAACGGCGAGUGAAGCGGGAAGAGCUCAAAUUUAAAAUCUGGCAAUCUUUGAUUGUCUGAAUUGUAAUCUAGAGAAGCAUGUUCUGUGCUGGACUGUGUACAAGUUUCCUGGAUAUGGAACAUCAUAGAGGGUGAGAAUCCCGUCCUUGACACAGACUCCCAGUACUUUUGUGAUGUGCUCUCAACGAGUCGAGUUGUUUGGGAUUGCAGCUCAAAAUGGGAGGUAAAUUCCUUCUAAAGCUAAAUAUUGGCAAGAGACCGAUAGCGAACAAGUACCGUGAGGGAAAGAUGAAAAGUACUUUGGAAAGAGAGUUAAACAGUCCGUGAAAUUGUUAAAAGGGAAACGCUUGAAGUCAGUCAUGUUUGCUUGGAUUCAACCUUACUUAGGUUUGGUGCAUUUCCUUGCCAAUGGGUCAGCGUUCAUGUCAUUUCCUGGAAAAGGGCUGAGGGAAUGUAGCUCCUUUGGGAGUGUUAUAGCUUUUAAUUCGGAUGCAGGGAAAUGAUAUGGAGUGGUACAGCACACUUCUAUGUGGUGCUUGUGCUGGCAUAAUGGCUUUAAACGACCCGUCUUGAAACACGGACCAAGGAGUCUAACAUAUCUGCNAGUGUUUGAGUGUUUUUUUGGGUGGCACUGGUGNCCCGAGCUGACCCUUGUGUGACGCAUCGGAGGNAGAGCAUAUAUGUUGGGACCCGAAAGAUGGUGAACUAUGCCUGAAUAGGGUGAAGCCAGAGGAAACUCUGGUGGAGGCUCGUAGCGAUUCUGACGUGCAAAUCGAUCGUCAAAUUUGGGUAUAGGGGCG
RNAcentral lists this ribosomal RNA (807 nucleotides) under Clavulina sp. Its description in RNAcentral is "partial large subunit ribosomal RNA". It matches the Rfam family "Eukaryotic large subunit ribosomal RNA", at positions 77 to 925 of the family's 3401-position model. Lineage: Eukaryota; Fungi; Basidiomycota; Agaricomycetes; Cantharellales; Hydnaceae. The record is from RNAcentral.